UACGGAGGAUGCGAGCGUUAUCCGGAUUUAUUGGGUUUAAAGGGUGCGUAGGCGGGAUGCCAAGUCAGCGGUAAAAAUGCGGUGCUCAACGCCGUCGAGCCGUUGAAACUGGCGUUCUUGAGUGGGCGAGAAGUAUGCGGAAUGCGUGGUGUAGCGGUGAAAUGCAUAGAUAUCACGCAGAACUCCGAUUGCGAAGGCAGCAUACCGGCGCCCUACUGACGCUGAAGCACGAAAGCGUGGGGAUCGAACAGG
This 252-nucleotide ribosomal RNA is filed under the name uncultured bacterium. Its description in RNAcentral is "partial 16S ribosomal RNA". It matches the Rfam family "Bacterial small subunit ribosomal RNA", at positions 524 to 776 of the family's 1533-position model. The record is from RNAcentral.